CCGGCAAAUCGGGCAAUCGCCCUAUGCCGCUUUGGAGCGGCCGGGAGGAAGGUCCGAACACCCAUUUUUCGCGCAAGCGGAAUCUAAAAAGAUAGUGGGUAACACCCAUCGGUCGAAAGACUAGAGGUGCGAACAGAGACGCCUAGGCCCGAAAGGGCCGAGGCGCCAAACAUAUAACUUGUUAUGUGCUUGGCGAGUCCCGCUGGCAACAUCGGGGGUGAAACGGCUAAAUCCUUAUCGGGCGCAAGAGCAAACCAGGAGUUCCGUGAUACAUCAUGGAACGCUUGUGAAAAGUAGCUCGCACGAGCCCAAGAGUAAUCACGGGCCCAGAUAGAUGAUUGCCUCGUCCCGCCUACGGCGGGACCAGACAGAAUUCGGCCUACAGAUUUGCCGGACAU
RNAcentral lists this RNase P RNA (398 nucleotides) under Candidatus Wildermuthbacteria bacterium RIFCSPHIGHO2_01_FULL_47_27. RNAcentral describes it as "RNase P RNA component class A". It matches the Rfam family "Bacterial RNase P class A". From Rfam's summary of the family: Ribonuclease P (RNase P) is a ubiquitous endoribonuclease, found in archaea, bacteria and eukarya as well as chloroplasts and mitochondria. Its best characterised activity is the generation of mature 5'-ends of tRNAs by cleaving the 5'-leader elements of precursor-tRNAs. Cellular RNase Ps are ribonucleoproteins. RNAcentral also lists the same sequence under 3 other names. Lineage: Bacteria; Candidatus Wildermuthiibacteriota. The record is from RNAcentral.